GAUGAACGCUGGCGGCGUGCCUAAUACAUGCAAGUCGAGCGAACGGACGAGAAGCUUGCUUCUCUGAUGUUAGCGGCGGACGGGUGAGUAACACGUGGAUAACCUACCUAUAAGACUGGGAGAACUUCGGGAAACCGGAGCUAAUACCGGAUAAUAUUUUGAACCGCAUGGUUCAAAAGUGAAAGACGGUCUUGCUGUCACUUAUAGAUGGAUCCGCGCUGCAUUAGCUAGUUGGUAAGGUAACGGCUUACCAAGGCAACGAUGCAUAGCCGACCUGAGAGGGUGAUCGGCCACACUGGAACUGAGACACGGUCCAGACUCCUACGGGAGGCAGCAGUAGGGAAUAUUCCGCAAUGGGCGAAAGCCUGACGGAGCAACGCCGCGUGAGUGAUGAAGGUCUUCGGAUCGUAAAACUCUGUUAUUAGGGAAGAACAUAUGUGUAAGUAACUGUGCACAUCUUGACGGUACCUAAUCAGAAAGCCACGGCUAACUACGUG
This 497-nucleotide ribosomal RNA is filed under the name uncultured bacterium. RNAcentral's name for it is "partial 16S ribosomal RNA". It matches the Rfam family "Bacterial small subunit ribosomal RNA", at positions 28 to 507 of the family's 1533-position model. The record is from RNAcentral.